AGCUAGUGGGCAGGAGGCCUGCUGUGGGCACAUGCCGCCACAGCAGGGGCCAACGCAGCCAUGACCAAUGGCUUUGAAGGGAACCGUAGCAAAGCGUGGAUGACGGGCACCUGAGCCGGGACACACCAGAGGGUACGAUGGCCAAGCUGCUGCGAGUCAGAAACGGACAGAGGGCAGAAUAAGAGACAAGAUAACAGGAAGGACCGGUCCUGAACACGCCUGUCCACUGGGAUCCAUUUUAUACUGUGCGUAACCCCACCCAGCACAUUCAGCCACAUACACACGCUCACACACAGAGGUGUUUGUGCAUAAGCAGGCACAACACUCACGGUAGCACCCACCACCCAUGCACUUUGUUCCCCAGAAGAGCCUGAGCUCUAAGCUGACCUCUGAACCUGUGCGUCUCUAGAGCGGAGCAUCCUGACCAUCCCAAUACGAAUCUUUGUGUUCCUAUGGCAAAAGUGGUCACACCACACCACUGGCCUCCAACACACAUCUUUCAAAUACACAAAACCUUUGAACACACAAGCACACGGCCUUCAAGGAUCAUUAUGCAUCAUGGCUUCAGGAAGUAGUCCUUUAGUAAAAAGGUAUCACUGAGGCAAAAUAAACAAGCAAAUGUUCUGGAUUCUAAACGCGUCUUUCACCUGCAUCAUUAACAGUAAUCAGAGAGUAAGGGUCAGAAGACCACAGAGAACCUGUUUGACCACUGGAGGCUGCUAAUGUUAGGUCUGCAAUUCUGAGAGCAUUACAGUACAAGACAAAAAGAUAACCUCUGCUUUUGCCUGAUGAAGACCAAAUAACGGUAGACACCUCUGGGUUAGAUGACAUAAAAGAUAGGAGCAGCUUAUGGAUUUGAAAAUGUGAGGCCAAUGCUUAUGUCUUAAAUCUGGAUUCCUUUUAAAGGCCAGCAGGGUUGCAAAAAGAAGUCUAGAAGAAGACUUUGAGCACUUGGACUACAUACGCUCCCGAUCUUAUCAAAUGACACAGAUUCUGAACAUGUUGGUCUCUGAAUACUGUUAAACAGACAAUAUUGCCACUGUGUCAGUGAGCUAUAACCUCAGUUUCUCCUCCUCGUCCGGUUUCCAAA
This is a long non-coding RNA of Haplochromis burtoni (Burton's mouthbrooder), 1090 nucleotides long. RefSeq lists it as uncharacterized. The record is from RefSeq and is a predicted model, not a curated record. The transcript is spliced from 2 exons. Lineage: Eukaryota; Metazoa; Chordata; Actinopteri; Cichliformes; Cichlidae.